UCCGGUUGAUCCUGCCGGACCCCACUGCUAUCGGGACAGGACUAAGACAUGCUAGUCGAGCGCUUCAGCCAAAAAGAGGCGCGGCAUACAGCUCAGUAACACGUGGCUAAUCUGCCCUUAGGACGAGAACAACCCCGGGAAACUGGGGCUAACUCUCGAUAGGUGAAGAACUCUGGAAUGAGUCUUCGCCCAAAAAGCUUCACGUUAUGCGCGUGAGGUUGCCUAAGGAUGAGGCCGCGACCGAUCAGGUUGUUGGUGAGGUAAUGGCUCACCAAGCCUUUUACCGGUGCGGGCCGUGAGAGCGGGAGCCCGGAGAUGGGCACUGAGACAAGGGCCCAGGCCCUACGGGGCGCAGCAGUCGCGAAAACUUUGCAAUACACGAAAGUGUGACAGGGCUAUCCCGAGUGCCAUCCGCUGAGGAAGGCUUUUACCCAGUCUAGAACGCUGGGGGAAUAAGGAGAGGGCAAGUCUGGUGUCAGCCGCCGCGGUAAUACCAGCUCUCCGAGUGGUGUGGAUGUUUAUUGGGCCUAAAGCAUCCGUAGCUGGCUAAGUUAGUCCCUUGUUAAAUCCACCGAAUUAAUCGUUGGAUUGCGGGGGAUACUGCUUGGCUAGGGGACGAGAGAGGCAGACGGUAUUCCCGGGGUAGGGGUGAAAUCCUAUAAUCCCGAGAAGACCACCAGUGGCGAAGGCUGUCUGCUAGAACGCGCCCGACGGUGAGGGAUGAAAGCUGGGGGAGCGAACCGGAUUAGAUACCCGGGUAGUCCCAGCUGUAAACGAUGCAGGCUAGUGUUUGGACGGCCACGUGCCGUUCUAGUGCCGCAGGGAAGCUGUUAAGCCUGCCGCCUGGGAGUACGAUCGCAAGAUUGAAACUUAAAGGAAU
RNAcentral lists this ribosomal RNA (880 nucleotides) under uncultured archaeon. Its description in RNAcentral is "bacterial SSU rRNA". It matches the Rfam family "Archaeal small subunit ribosomal RNA", at positions 1 to 865 of the family's 1478-position model. The record is from RNAcentral.